Molecule: non-coding RNA, 79 nt
Organism: Podarcis lilfordi (Lilford's wall lizard)
Lineage: Eukaryota; Metazoa; Chordata; Lepidosauria; Squamata; Lacertidae
Source: the annotation of a GenBank genome assembly
GCCCCCAGAAGAAUAGCUCAGUUGGCAGAGUAUGAGGCUCUGAAUCUCAGGGUUGUGGGUUCAAGUCCCACAUUGGGUG